GUCCAGCUGACGAGUCCCAAAUAGGAUGAAGUGUCAUACGUUCUGGAU
Molecule: non-coding RNA, 48 nt
Filed under: Schistosoma curassoni
Lineage: Eukaryota; Metazoa; Platyhelminthes; Trematoda; Strigeidida; Schistosomatidae
Source: RNAcentral